Molecule: RNA transcript, 2939 nt
Organism: Saccostrea cuccullata (small rock oyster)
Lineage: Eukaryota; Metazoa; Mollusca; Bivalvia; Ostreida; Ostreidae
Exons: 5
Source: RefSeq, a predicted model, not a curated record
UUAUUUUAAGUAAUUAAAUUAGGCCUAGUCUUUUCAUCUUAUGAUCUUAUUACUAGACAGUCUGAGUGUGACAUGUUUACAACAUAUUACUGCUGGUUGCCAUGCCUGAUGAACAAACUAGGGGAAAAAAUCAAAUUUUAUGAGAAAACUUUGAGUUUUUUCACAAACUUCACAAUUUGUUGUUCGUCUAACGUUAUACAUAUUUGUGUCGGGCUCGAAGUUUGUUUGACAUCACUCAGUCUCUGGAUAAUGGCGUCUGUUGACAUGCACCAUGACUGGCAUGAAUCGAAUAAAGUUGGUAAUAAUGUUGUCAGAGUGAGAGAAUGACUAGAAGGGUUCUUCCUCGUGUUUAUGAAGUAGGAUGGCUGCUUCGUCAUAUAGUCGGUAAAUGUUGAUGAUGCUGAACAAGCUGAAGAGAUCCACUGUCUACUGAAGACCACUAUACAUGUAGAUGUUCACGCAGAGGUUUAUAUCUUUGGACAGAAGAAGACACAAACAGAGUCAUAAAAAGGGAUUUCCAUGAUUGGAUUAAAGGGGAUAUAGUCUACCCAGUAAAACAUGUCUGGAGCACUACUUGAGAGAAUCUACUUUGUCAAGUACACACUGCUUUAACGCCGAACAAGAAUAAUGAACGAAACAGAACAAGAGAAGGACCAAAAUGUAAUAAGUGAUGGAAAAAAAUUUAUUAACCAUCUAAACUUACUUUUACUCCAUAAAUCUUAGGUAAUCUAAGUUACUCUGUGACACAGUCAAGUUUUGUAUAUGAUGCUGAUAGAGUUUGUAGAGACAUGUAAUGAAUAAAGCGUCCUUCACAAAGAUUGUACAUGAAAAUUCAUUACCGAGUUAUUUUCCACCCGUCAUCAUCUUUGGCAUUGCUGUCACCAUCCUUUAAGACAUAAGGUGAUCUUGUAUAGACUUGUAAAAUUUCUGUCCUUUAAAUCCCAUACUUAAGUUCAAAUACAUGUCAUUAACAUGCUGAUGUUCUAUUGGUAUUUAUGGUUAUAAAUUGAUUUUACAAUACUGGUAAUGAUUAUUGACUGGUUAAAUGUGGAACAAAAUCAUUUUAAACAAAUCAAAUUUUCAAAUGAUUGUAACUUCAGGGUAAGAUAGAUUAACAGGAUAAUGCUAGCAAUAUUUUUACAGAUGCACAAUUUGGUUUGUACAGUCAUAAAGAAGAUACUUAUAUAGGAGGAAAUAUUGUAUGGUUGUAUUAUUGACUAUCAGAAAGCAUUUUAUGAUGAACAUAUCUUGUUUUCAAUAUAGACUUACCUCACAAUUAGGGUAUACAUGGUUAAUUGUUUGGAAUUAUAAAAUCAGUGGGAAAGUGUAUUUAAAAACUGUAUUAAUGAUAUAUGGAGGUAACAUAGUUCUGUCAGAUUAUUGUAAUAUAUACUGGGGUGUUUUGUAAAAUGAAAUACUUUCAUCACUUUACAUUUAUUGACUGAGUUCAAGGGCAACAUGCGUUUUGUCGGACCCAAGAAUCAAACUGUCUGCCUGAGGGUGUUAGGUUUUGUUAUAACUUUCAUUUUAUUUUAAUUUUUUGACUUACAUGUAUUUUGUACUAUAUUUCAUGAUGUAACAUCACGUCUACCACUGUUUAACACCAACAUUUGAAUAUGAGAUUCAGUUCUGUCCAUUCUGUGACGUAAACGGUCCAACAUCUCUCCGAGCGGUCCAACAUAGAUUUUUUUUCAUGCCCGCUGAGCAAAACAUUAAGAUAUGUUAGACUUUUCUUGUAUAGAUUUGUAUAGGAACACAUUUUUAAAGGUAUGAAAUGUUAUUUCAUUACACUAAAAUGAUCUUGAAAUGCAUGUUUUGAAUAAGAAUUGCCUUGAUUGAGAUACAAAUGAAGAUAAUUUUUUUUUAAUUGAAAGAAGGCAAAUGAUAUUGUUUUGGUUGUAAAACAAGAGCAAGAUUACAAUAAUUGUUUUAAUGAAUUGCAUUCUUUGGAAGGGAUUCUUUUUACAAUUAUAAAUAUAGGGGAAAAAACCUAAAUAUUGUUUUUAGAAAUGGUGAUACAUGAAAUCAAAUGAAAAAAUAGAAUUAUUGUGAUCAAAACAUUGGAAUGGUGAACCAGUUUUAGUACGAUAUUUGAUUUUAUAACUGGGAUUUAUUUUCGAACCCAGAAAUUUUUUUUUAAACCAGAGAAAAUGUCAUGUACAGCUUGCAUUAUUUAAAUAAAGUGAUUUAAAAAAAAUUAUAUAUGUAAAUGAUAUAUUGUGCUAUGCAGUUAAUAUUGGGGUAUCAAAAGGUCAUUUAUUAUAGAACAGAUAUGCACAAUGUACUGUAAGAGAAUUCCAAGGGUUAAACAAUGCACAUUUAAUAGCGUGAUUUGAAUAUGGAAGCUUUCCACUGGUGACAAUUGAAAAAUGAAAAAGUAAUACCCCGGUAGUUGAAAAUGCAAUGAAAUAAUUCAUUUUUUCAAGAUAUGUUAGAGAAUGGAGAUAAUGGAUUAUUAUCCCCCCACCCCACCCCCCGCUUGAAAAGUGGGAGGGUAUAUAGUAAUCGGUAGGUCCGUCCAUCUGUACGUCGGACGUACGUCAGUCUGUUACGCUUUUUGGUACCCAUCUCUUAUCUACAACUCCUCUUAUACCACUGAAUGAAAUUUAAUGAAACUUUCAGAGAAUCUUUAUUACAUUUUGCAAUUGAGCACCUCUUAUUUUACUUUUUGAACUAACAUACAUUUUGGAUUUUGCAGAGCAAAACAUGGAUACUGCCAUUAUAUUCAUUUUGGAGGAGGGUGGGGGGGGUAUCAUGUAGUGAGCUCAUUGCUCACAGUACCUGUAGUUGAUAAUAGAAAUGAUUUUAUCAAAAUAGAUUAACUGUGCUUAAUGACCGUAUUGUACGUUGUAUUGAAGAAUUUGUGAUGUUUUCAAACAAGUGCUGAGGAAUAUUUGUACUUUCUCAAAGGAUGUCUUGAGUAAAAACAUGGUAUAUUA